GGAAGAUAACAUGCUAACUCUCUCUCUCUCAAAUCGAAGACAGACGCCUCCUCUCUUCUUCCCCUCCCCUCCCCUCUCCUCCCUCACUCUCUCGAUCGUCCCUAGCCACUCCGACACACCACCACCGCCACGAGCGGCAGAACCGCACCUCUUAGCACCACCAGCGGCGCCACUCCCACCACCAGCGCACCACCACGAGGUAUCUCUCUCUCUCUCGAGGAAGGGCUAACCCAAGUGUUCUAUCAGUUGGAAUUCGGAGACCGCGGUGAAUUACAAGUGGCUUGGGCUUGGUUUCAGAUCUAGGCCUGUUGCGAUUUGAAUCUGUCUUGGAUUCUAAGGAGCAAGGGAACUUUCUAAAUGGAAAGGGAAGGCCAUCUGUGUAGCCAAGGGAAAGAAAUCAAUGUUGGAUGGUGAUUUGGAGAAUACUAUAUCAGAAGAGGAAGGUAGACUAAUGAGGAAGAGGAAAAAUAGAAGUGGAAAAGAAAGCGCGAGCACGAAGAGUAGCGGGUGCCUUAAUGAAGAGGUCUCAAAAUCGAUCGUUGUUAUUAAUGGUUUAAUUGCGGGCAUGGAGACCGCUUGAGGGUUUUUGAUCGGAAAAGGCUUGACCUUUGAGAGGCAGAAAAGGAGGUUGUAGCCGCCAUUGGAGCUGUACGCUGCAGCAGCUGUGGAGGACAGCUUGAACUUGAGAGGCAACGAGGUGCACAGAAGUGAAAUGGAAGAAAAGUGAAGGACACAGUGGAAGGAAAGAGUAUGUCGAAUCUCGAUGCUUCAGAUUCGUAAGAAUUCCCUUAUUAUGCAGAGCACUAGCUGGUGUGCUUAUAUAUGCUCUUAUGUUGUUAAAUGCAGAGCACUAGCUGGUGUGCUUAUAUCUACUCUUAUAUUGUUAAAUGCAGAGCACUGGCUGGUGUGCUUAGAUUUUUUUCUGAUUUCCUUGAUGCAGCUACUUGGUUUUAACUUUUUACAUGGUAUUUAAUGGAAUUCCAUAAGCAAAUUGAUAA
Long non-coding RNA from Rhododendron vialii, 998 nucleotides. RefSeq lists it as uncharacterized. The record is from RefSeq and is a predicted model, not a curated record. NCBI's taxonomy places the organism in Eukaryota, Viridiplantae, Streptophyta, Magnoliopsida, Ericales, Ericaceae. The transcript has 5 exons.